Caretta caretta (loggerhead turtle) is the source of this 1420-nucleotide non-coding RNA. NCBI's taxonomy places the organism in Eukaryota, Metazoa, Chordata, Testudines, Cheloniidae. The record is from RefSeq and is a predicted model, not a curated record.
CCCCCCAGCGGCGGGAGGGCGCGAUAGGGCCCUGUAGAGAGAGCCCCUGGGCUGGCCUCCCCGCCCCCUUGCCCCUAGGCACGGGGUGAACGUCAGACCGUCACAAGGGCCAGACUGGGUCAGAGCCAGGGUCCAUCCAGACCAGUGUCCUGUCCGGCCAGGGCCAGGUGCCCCCGCGGGCAUGAAUGGGGCAGGGAGUCCUCGAGUGAUCCGUCCCCCGUUGCGCAUUCCCAGCUCUGGCAAGCAGAGGCUCGGGACACCCUGCCUGCCCAUCCUGGCUAAUAGCCAUCGAUGGACCUGGCCUCCAUGAACUUGUCUAGUUCUUUUUUUAACGGUUAUAGUCAGAUGACCCUGCUGAUCAUCAGCUUGUGGGGCCCUUGGCAGGGGAGAUGACAGCGGAAGAGGGAGAGUGACCGCUUGUGGGGGGAGAUCAUAGAAUCAUAGAAUAUCAGGGUUGGAAGGGACCCCUGAAGGUCAUCUAGUCCAACCCCCUGCUCGAAGCAGGACCAAUUCCCAGUUAAAUCAUCCCAGCCAGGGCUUUGUCAAGCCUGACCUUAAAAACCUCUAAGGAAGGAGAUUCUACCACCUCCCUAGGUAACGCAUUCCAGUGUUUCACCACCCUCUUAGUGAAAAAGUUUUUCCUAAUAUCCAAUCUAAACCUCCCCCACUGCAACUUGAGACCAUUACUCCUCUUCUGUCAUCUGCUACCAUUGAGAACAGUCUAGAGCCAUCCUCUUUGGAUCCACCUUUCAGGGAUACCAGAAAGGGAACAGGGAUGCUACAACAGGAUCAGGACCACAGCUGGAACCAGAACAGAAGAGGACAACAACCAGGAACACAACAGACUGGACGAUGAGGAUUAGGAACAGGAUCAGGACCACACUUGGGAACAGCAACAAGGUGUUUAGCCAGCACAUUGUGAAGAAACUAUUCAAGUUAAGUGGCUCAUAAAAAGGACACCUAACUCACAAUGGAAGACGCCCAUCUACACUGAAUGGACGGAUCUGUGAAUGUUCUGUCGGGUAUUGGUAGUGGCUUUUCCUGUGACUAAGUGAAAUCACUCAGGGAUAUGUGACUUGCCCAUGUGACUCCAAACUCCAUCUUUUACCUGUAAUUUUCCACUAGCCAUGCUGAGGGCUUUGUUUGAGACAAUGGAUUUCCUUCCCUCCACAUGGCAGAAGCUAUAAAAGGUGCUGAAAACAUCUCCAUUUUGUCUCUUUCAAGCUCCAGCCUCUUUCCUGCUCAAGCCUCUGGACUAUGGACUUGUACUAAUGGGAGCAUUUUGUGACACUUCCAGUGAUUUGGAAGCAACCAGACUUGACUUCAGCCAGCAGUUUAUUCCAUCACUGCUACAAGACUGAUCCAAGACCUUUGCAAUUAUUGUAUGUAUUUGAUUUCUUUAACCAAUUUUAAUUUAUUU